UUGUAUUAUACUAUAAUUGUCGACGUAUGAACCCAUGAAGCUGCUUUCACACCGCAGACAAUGUUUUUUCAGAAGCAAAAAAGCAACUACCUUUGGCUUUAUUAAAACUUUUUUGACCAAAACACACAGGUCUUGUAAGUUAUUAAUAUCACUAUGUAACAAAUAAACGUGUUGUUGAUACACAAUGAAUCAAUAAUAGUUAAGCUGAGACUUUUUUAAAGAGUAAGCUCAUAGGUCUAUUGAAAAUAUUUAUUCUUUUGAAGAAUUGCAAAAGCUAACCUAGUUAGGACAAUGCCUAAAACACGGAUUUGGAAAUAACAAGGAAGAUCAUGAGUGACAUAAUCCAUUUCAACCAAAUUAUUAGAAGAAAUCAUAGAUUGACCUUUUCAUAGCUAAUAAUUGGUGGUUUGUUUGCUUUGCGAAGUUGUGGAGUAGGUAAGGCAUAUAUAGCCCAUGCGACUCCUUAGCAAGACACCAUUCACACAUUACAAUCAAAAGCUG
Molecule: long non-coding RNA, 501 nt
Organism: Brassica oleracea var. oleracea
Lineage: Eukaryota; Viridiplantae; Streptophyta; Magnoliopsida; Brassicales; Brassicaceae
Exons: 2
Source: RefSeq, a predicted model, not a curated record